CACACACACACACAGUCAGACACACACACACACACACACAGUCAGACACAAACACACACACAAACACACACAGUCACAUACAUACACACACACACAGUCAGACACACACACACAUACACAGUCAGACACACACACACACAUACACACACAGUCAGACACACACACACACACACACACACACACACACACACACACACAUACACACACAGUCAGACACAAACACACACACAAACACACACAGUCACAUACACACACAGUCAGACACAUACACAGACACAAACACAGUCACACACACACUCACAAACACAC
Pelobates cultripes (western spadefoot toad) is the source of this 309-nucleotide non-coding RNA. The record is from the annotation of a GenBank genome assembly. NCBI's taxonomy places the organism in Eukaryota, Metazoa, Chordata, Amphibia, Anura, Pelobatidae.